UUCUGAGAAGGGGUGUGCUAAAAUUGGAACGAUAAAGAGAUCAGCAGGCCCCCGCGCAAGGAUGACACACAAAUUUAAAUAUGGAAGUGUUCCAUAUUUAA
This 101-nucleotide small nuclear RNA is filed under the name Myotis davidii. The record is from RNAcentral. Lineage: Eukaryota; Metazoa; Chordata; Mammalia; Chiroptera; Vespertilionidae.